This 650-nucleotide ribosomal RNA is filed under the name uncultured bacterium. RNAcentral's name for it is "bacterial SSU rRNA". It matches the Rfam family "Bacterial small subunit ribosomal RNA", at positions 77 to 760 of the family's 1533-position model. The record is from RNAcentral.
CGGCGAUGUAACUUUAGUGGCGGACGGGUGAGUAACACGUGAGAAUUUACCUUUAGGAGGGGAAUAACAGUUGGAAACGACUGCUAAUGCCGCAUAUCAUAAAUAUGAAAGAAGAAAUUCGCCUAAAGAAAAGCUUGCGUCUGAUUAGCUAGUUGGUAAGGGUAAUGGCCUACCAAGGCGACGAUCAGUAGCUGGUUUGAGAGGAUGAUCAGUCACACUGGAACUGAGACACGGUCCAGACUCCUACGGGAGGCAGCAGUGGGGAAUUUUCUGCAAUGGGCGAAAGCCUGACAGAGCAAUACCGCGUGAGGGAAGAAAGCCCACAGGGUUGUAAACCUCUUUUGUCAAGGAAGAAGUUCUGACGUUACUUGACGAAUAAGCAUCGGCUAACUCCGUGCCAGCAGCCGCGGUAAGACGGAGGAUGCAAGUGUUAUCCGGAAUCACUGGGCGUAAAGCGUUUGUAGGUGGUCUAGUAAGUCUAUUAUUAAAGCUUGAAGCUUAACUUCAAAAGUGUAAUAGAAACUACUAAACUAGAGGAUAGUAGGGGUAAAGGGAAUUUCCAGUGGAGCGGUGAAAUGCGUAGAGAUUGGAAGGACCACCGAUGGCGAAGGCACUUUACUGGGCUAUUUCUGACACUAAGAGACGAAAGC